CAGCAUUAUGCUUUAAGUCCUGAUCGAAGACAAUAUUGCUGCUGCACACAAACAUCAUUUAGCCAAAGCAAAGUCUUUAUUUCAGUUUAUUGUUGUUAAUGUAGCCCACAUGAAUAUUUGCCACCAUGGAGGACACUGGCGCUGUGUCCUGAUGGUUCUGGGUUAGGAUGUGAUUGCAAACGUUUCACAAAUUAGAAAAAAAAGAAAAAAAGAUACCGAUUUUGCUUUCUUGUGUCCUAUCUGAUCCAGAGGCCUGAGGUUUUAAGGGGUCACCAGUCAAAAAAUUUCAGGUUGCAAAAUUUGGCACAAAGGAUCCUGUACUUUUCCCACUGGCAGGGAACGUUGGAACCUGAACAUUAAUCCUGCACUGCAAAAUUUGUCUAGUAUGAAUAAAAUUCUUAUGGAUACUGGGCUGAAAUUUAUAGAAAACAAGUAAGUAACAAUGAUAUAAAGGGGAACAUUAAAGAUGGGUUGGUGUUUGAGCACAAAUAAUUUUAUUUCACAUAUAUCAACUCACACCACUUACAUCUGCACAGUUUUACACAGCGCAGUUUGAAUAUUAUUCUAUUUUAGUGUAUUUACAUACUUUAAGUGGCUGAUAUCAGAAUUCAGUGCAGGCAGGCUGAUGUGGAGCUUCCCUCAGGAGCAGUUACUUUGCUGUUUGUAAGAAAACUUCUGAAUCCGCUGUGCACGCACACACACACACACACACACACACACACACACACACACACACACACACACACACACACACACACACACACACACACACACACAGUAGGCUCGAUUCCAAACAACACCUGAGCAUAUACCUUCUUUUCCGCUGUCACGUUCUGCUUUUAUUUAGUAUAUUCUUGGCUUUCCCAGCCCUGAGCGCUUGGCACAAAGCUUCAGUGUGGCCUCAUCAUCAUCCGCUGCACUCAAAAAUAGAGUGUUGCUCUUACCUCAGAGUCUGGUUCGCUCUGAGUCCUGACAGCAGAGCAGCAUGGUUGAAAGGUGGCUCAAAGGCGACAGUGCACACCUGUGUGUGUGUGUGUGUGUGUGUGUGUGUGUGUGUGUGUGUGUGUGUGUGUGUGUGUGUGUGUGUGUGUGUGUGUGUGUGUGUGUGUGUGUGUGUGUGUGUGUGUGUGCGCGCGCUUCUAUGGGGAUUUGUUGGGUUUUUUUUCUGACUUGAUGAGAGCAGAUCUAUGUUGGAAUGAAUGUGAUUAGUUUCUAACAGGGAGCGCAGAGGCAAUCAGUUUGGCAUGAAACAACCUGUUACAUCCCUUCUUUCCUUCCUCCUUCACCUUUUCUGGUGCCACACGUCAAGGGGAGGCAGGAAUGCAGGAAAGGGGAAACAACAACAGAGAAUGUCCUUCUCCCUGGAGCUAUCUGGCAGAGUUGGAUUACAAACUGAACACACACACACACACACACACACACACACACACACCCUUUGUAGUGAAUCUACCUCUUGUCUCACCUUUGCCCAUUCCUGGUGGCUGAAAUUUGAGAAUACACUGGCUUGAGGGCUUGGCUCAGGUUGUGGCUUGGCACAACCUCCAACUUAAAAAAAACAAAAAACCCUGCAAAUUCCUAAACCGUUAAGGAAGUGAAUAUUCUGCUCUCAGCUUUCUAAAUUGUUGAUAGAGGUGUGAUGGACGUGAUCAGCCAGACAGCAUCGACGGAGCAGUGGGAUGCAUAACAAAAGUCCAGCUAGAUGGAGAGAAAAGCCGGCCAACUUGUCAGUCAGGCAGGUUGACAAAACAUUUAGUCAGUCGGUCAAUCGACGACUCCAGAAAAACCAGGCACUACAAAUGGGAAACACAUAACCAUAGAGAGUGUCCGAUGGCGACUCCAACUAUGAGAUGCCAAAGGAAGCGACACUCUGUCACCCAACACUUUAAUUACCUUUGUGUGUGUGUGUGUGUGUGUGUGUGUGUGUGUGUGUGCGUGCGUGUGCGUGCGUGCCAGACCUGUUUGGCCAGAUAGGAUGACUGUCACCUCUCAUCUUCUCAAAUUAGUCCCACCACCACCUCCUCCUUUGGGACGGUCCAUACCAGGUUUCAGCAGCACACUUUUCAACACGUUUCGGUGUAGCUUACAUAGAGAUAUUUGCUGCUCACUUUUCUCCGCAGGAUUGUAAACAUAUCCUCUUUAUCUUUUGUUCAAAUCUUUUUUCUUUUUUUCUCUCCCCGCAACCUGUUUCCAAGCUUCACAUCUCACAGUGCACGCUUACAGUCCACAAGUAUUAAUACAGUAUGUGCUCAUGUGUGAAUUUACACACAGCUGAGUGUUUGAGUUUUACAUGGUGGUGUUAUCCACUGUUACUGUGUGCCGUCUUUUUCUUUAUAUAUUUUUUUGACACUCACAAUCCUUCCUCAUGUAAAAACAACUCACAAGGGACUUCAUCAAAAUUAUAUUCUAGAAGCGAACAAAUCACAAUCACAAUUGACCGAUGAUGAUGAUUUUCUCACUUGUUUAACAAUGCAUGACUUUCUCUCAUUUCCCAGGGAAUGAUGCCUGGCUCUUACCGAGCAGGGCCGGUGUGAGGGUCAAGGUCUGCCUGCUUUCUUGUCACGUGAACACGCACAACGAAAAGCGGUAUCUACUGAGAUAUUUAUGAUGAAUCAGAAUCAUGCCUGCCUGUCGAGUACAGUAAAAACUUUAUGGAAGCUUUAGCGGGACACAUUGAUAAGGGUUGGAUUUCUACCCGUGCUGCCGAUGGUCAGUGUGUUUGUGUGUGAGCAAGCAACAGACAGAGAGAGAGUGAAAGAGUGAGCGAGCGCUGCACACAGCAUAUACAAAAAAAAAUAGUAUCAUCAUGAAACUUUGGCAGGACAAGUAUACUGUAGUAUACACAGUUUAUACUGUAUAUAGUUGCCUGUGCACCCGGGGCAUGCUUCGCCCCUGUGAUGCUUUUUCAUUCCAUUUUAUUAUGUCACAGUGUUGCCACAUCAAUCAGUUAAUUACUUUAGUGAGAAGUAUAGUGUUAUGAUAACGGAUAAAUUCAUCAGUAAUAGGUUUGUUCAUAACGGUCUCCUCUCCCCAUCUCCAGUUGUUCUCCAACCAACCACUGCUGCCGUCCCGAGCCCUCACCUGCACAUACUGACUCGAGGUGUUUGCUUACCCUCCUCGCUUUGCUGCCUUCCUCUCUGCCAAGCACCACUGAUACCCACAAACACACACCUGCAGCCAACAAUAGAGGCCUUAUUCGGUGUGGGCACGCUGCGGAUCCAGCCGCCCCCUAUCAAGGACUGGGAUCUGGACCGCAGAGUUUCUGAGAGUUACUUAAAACUCAGCCUCAGACAUAACACUAAGUCCCCAUGGCCAUGACAUCACUGUCUAAAUAACAUGCUUGUUAGAAAUCUGCCUUGAAGUCUGUAGCUGCACAGAGGGAUGAAAGCGAGCGAAUGAAAGAGAGGGCAAAAGCCAUCAGACGCCUCUUCAAGAGCAGCCUUCGGCUUCAAAGGCAAACCUCAGGCGCUCUGACAGAGAACAACAGCUGAUGACGUCAUGGAGGACACAGGACAUUUAACCAAAAACUCCACGCAGCCCCAACGCGUUUCUCCAAGCACAAAACAAGGAGACGACAGGAAAAUAACAACGCAAAGGUGCAGAAGAGUGCUGAGGUUUAAUGAGGAAGAGGGAGAAAAACAGAGAUCCAGAGAGCACAGGGGUUCAUAGGGGUCGGCUGUGCGCGCACACAUCGUGGGGAGAAGGCGAGAUCAGAGCGACGGGGAGCGUUCCCGUGUUUGGGAUAGGAGGGAAAGAUAAACAAGCCGGGAUGGCAGCUCAAAGAGAGGCAAGGAGGAAAUGGGAAUGUUGAGAUUCCAAAAAGGAAAAUCUGUGUCUCUCUCACACAAAUACACACAGAAGCACACGCACACACAGAUGGAAUAAGUGGUAACCAUGGAACAUGAGUUUUAGAAGUUUGUUAUGGAUUUGUUUUCAAAAUGACAGGCUUUCACAACAACUCCCUUCCACUGCUGCGUGCCAGUAGAAGAGCGUAUGUUUUACAUCAUGACUCUCAGUCUUCAGACUGAGACUCGCGGUCCUCGGAGUAAAAACAGCAACAAACAAAAAAACAGAUCUGGCCAUACACUGUGACGAUUGAAGAGUGUGGUUGGACGCUUAUGUGGAACACAGGAGCAGAGACACGGGCAGAUCUGAAAAGCUUUGAUGCAAACGUUCUUGGACAGAAUGAAUGAAUCAACACAGAGAUUGGUCUCCGAGCAGGCAGGGAGCAGGUGAUCCAGCAUUGUUGUGUGGCAGAGGAGGCAGAGAGUGGCAGGCUAUGGUAAAAACGGCAGAGAGGUGAGUCCUAAUCACAGGUAAAAGACAAAGGAGGUUCGUUUCAGGCGGACAGGAAGGUUCAAACAAGAUUUUCCAAAAACAAAAAGGCAGAGAAGUUCUUCUGCAAUGGGGAACAAUGAUCUGGCAGAGUCCUGGUGGUUGAAGCGGUCCUUAUAUACUGCAGGAUCUCUGUGGGCUUGACCACGGCUACAGCCACACCAAUAUGUAUUUGUACUAAAACAAAAACCUUUUAGCUCCGUGAAAAUGAAUAUCAUGUGGGCAUGUGCGCGCUGGUGUAAACAGGAAGCAGAUUGUCUACUCUGCAGUUGCUUGGUUACAGAAAAUCCAAAAAAAAAACCCCAGCAAUGGUGAAAAGUAAGACAGGGGCGUCUCUUCUUCGCCUGAGGAUGAGGCCGAACUGUUACUGACGGUAAGUGUUCAAAACGUUUGCCUUCACCGCUGGUAGUCGAGUCUUGAAUGAUAAGAAUGACUCGGGAAGCAAAUGCGUGCGACAGCAUCAUCAUUUUCAAACGUCUGUUUUUCCAACGUAAACGUAGCAGUGAUGCGUACAUACAUACCGUAUAUCUUCUUUCACAGGAAUGCUUAUUUGCAUUGUAUAUAUAAAAAAAGUCUAAUGUGUUGAUGAAAUAUUCAUUGUCUCACGAUAAACCUUAAUUAACGUUAUUCGUCGGCCUGCCGAUACAUACACACCUGUCAAUCAUGACUUUUCACCCCGUGAUUAAUUAAAAUAGAACCAAAAUUUCUAGAAACAUGAACACUUGAACAUACAUCAGUGUGAUAAGAACUAUGCCUAAAAUGACAGAAACCAUCUGUGGGAAAAAAAGAACAUUUGGCGGCUUGUACAUUAAAUUUUUUGUUUGCAUCAUGUCCCAUCUGCUAACAUGGAGGAGGCGGGGUUAAUGGCCGAUAGAGCAGUCAGCCUCCAGGGGGCGACAAAGAUAUUUUGGCUUCACUUUUGGGAGCAGUCAUGUCGUCCAUCUUUACAUACAGUCUAUGGUAGAGACUGACCGUUCCUGAAAAGAUUGAUGUGAUUUACAAGAUACGGACUCCCAAAAUCAAGAAUAAAUGUUAAUCAUCGUAUAUAAAUAUCUUUGGCAUUUUCUUCACGACUUGAUAUUUCAACUCCACACACAACAGCUCACUAUCAGAUCAAUUCCUGUCCCCCCACACCUACACUUUGGCAUGACUCAAGUGAACAUUAACACCGAUCUAAACAUGUUUUUCCUUCUUUGAUUAGAAAAAUGUAAACCAGCGCCUGCAGAACUGUUUUUCCUGAGGCCAGAGAGUAACGAGAGGAUGUUGGCACCGCACAAUGGCCACAGAAAUCCAAAGUAUCCCAAACAAACUUCAUCACUCCGCUGCCUGCCCUAUCCUCCCCUCUGAUCUCUCUUCUCUUUCAUCCCCCUCUGGCAACAAGGCAACGAAUUUCUGAGCAGAGCGAGAAGGAGAGCGAGAGAGAGACACAAGGAAACAGAAACCGGUAGACGGAGAGAUAGCGUGCUGCUCUUGAAACUUUGGAGACAGCUAUGCCAGGAAUGCAGGUGCCUGCUGUGAAGACAACAAAGUGAGGAGGACCUCCGCAGGAGCGCAGCGUGGGCAAGCAGCACGUCCGUGUGAGGGAACCCAGCCCACAUUUCAACUCUCAACCUGCCUCUCAUGCAAAGCAGUUGUUCAAAGUUGAGUUUCAAAGGUACGCUUGUCACCGCGUGAGGCUCCUGAAGAUACCGCGUGACGGCAGGUCAGAAAAAUCCAGAGAGGAAAAAAAAGGAGGAAAUUUGUACUCAUUAUCCAGCUGAUUAUCCAGCUUCACAAUAAAAAAACCAGUGUGAAUUAUUGGUUUUCCCUGAAAAAUGACACGACCAUGUCUGGUACAGCUGGGGGGUGGGCUGUGUCGUCCUGGUCGUCAAAAGAAAAACUAGAAACAGAUUCCACUGCAUUAAAAAGAGAGACUGACAUUCUCUUACCCAAUCUGUCUAUUCCUCUCUCUCUC
This is a long non-coding RNA of Scophthalmus maximus (turbot), 6286 nucleotides long. RefSeq lists it as uncharacterized. The record is from RefSeq and is a predicted model, not a curated record. Lineage: Eukaryota; Metazoa; Chordata; Actinopteri; Pleuronectiformes; Scophthalmidae. The transcript is spliced from 3 exons.